GUCCCUGUGAUGAUGAAUUACUGGAAUUACCGCCUGAAUGUAAGUGAUGACAACUAACUCUGAGGGAUUGG
This is a non-coding RNA of Paramuricea clavata, 71 nucleotides long. The record is from the annotation of a GenBank genome assembly. Lineage: Eukaryota; Metazoa; Cnidaria; Anthozoa; Malacalcyonacea; Plexauridae.